Non-coding RNA from Phoenix dactylifera (date palm), 2945 nucleotides. Lineage: Eukaryota; Viridiplantae; Streptophyta; Magnoliopsida; Arecales; Arecaceae. The record is from RefSeq and is a predicted model, not a curated record.
UCUGGGGCGGCGUUCUCUCUUUCCCCUGCUGCGGGUGGUCGGCUCCGCUCGCACGAUCGAAAGAAAUGGAAGAGGAAGUCGAGGAAAGGGAAGCCGAAUGGCAGUUCAGGCAUUGCGCUUGAUCUCCUUCAAGUUGAGGAAGGAGUGGGAUUUCUCAGUGGACCCCUGCAGCGGGAGGCAAGGGUGGUUGGAACCCACAGGUUCCUUCGCGAAAGCCAGCAACGUCACUUGCCGCGGCAACACCACGUCCAAUAUUUGUCAUGUGACUAGCCUAUGCAGCCUACUCAAGAGUCAGAUCACUGGAGUUCUUCAAGAGAUCUUGCAUGGAACUAUCUCAGUGGAUCCAUUCCAGCUGCCUGGGCUUUGCUUGCUCUCACGCUUCUGUAGUUUAUGUCUCCCCAUUUGUUGCUUUAAAAGAAGAUUCACCGGCAGAAAAAUAAAAAUAGAGAGUCUUGUAAAUGACAAUAUUGCAAAUAACUCUGUUCUGCAGAUCUCUUCUGGGAAAUCGGAUCUCAGGGAGCAUCCAGAGGAGCUUGGAAGAAUUACGACCCUUCAGUCCCUAGACAUACAGGGGACUUCGAUGCUGGGGCUCUUUCCUCCUAUCUUCUCCACAUUGGUAUCUCUAAUGCAACUGAAAGUCUCUCACUCGAAAGGAGAUGGGAAGUUCCCAGUGCUGCAAAUUAUAGAGAACUUGGAAGUACAGUAUGAUGCAGCGUGUUAAUCAAUAUCUGGUGAACUCCCAGAUUUUAUUGGGAGAUGCCUAAUCUUGACCAUUUGCAAGGAUAUCCAGAAAUUCACUUGGUGACUUUACCUUCAUUAGUCAUUUGGGUUAUAUUUCAAACUAUAUGAUUUUAAUUCCACAAUCUGCUACUAUGAAUAUUUGUUAUACUAUCAAUUCAUUAACAUCGGUGUAAACCUUUUGUAUCUUUUGUAUGCUUUAUGUUUCUCUUGUAGAGAUCUAAGAUUUAACAAUCUCAGUGGUCCAAUUCCAAGAAGUGCGGUGAUGGACUGACAACAAUAAGCUUUAUGUAAGCAGAUUAGAUCGACAUAGUCAUAUGCAUACCAUGAAGUAAUAACCAGUGACUUGAUGGAGAAAGAUUCAGUCUAGGUUCCUUUUUUAUUACAAUCACUGCAACUUUCUAACUAUUAUUUUCAAUUUUUCAUUAAUUUGUUUCAUAUCCACUUUACUUUUCUCAUCUAGGUACCUUACCAGUAACAUGUUUAAUGGAACACUGCCUAAUUGGAUCUUGAGCAAGCAAAAAAAAAUUGCAUGUCAUACUUACUGUGUGCUUUUUAAGCUGCAUAUUAUUUGCUUAUGAAUUAUCAUUCUCCAAUCGUAAUUCCAUCUCCAUCAUUUUAUGAAAUUCAAAAUUUCAGGGAUCAUUCUUAGAACUCUUUUACAGGACCCUUGAAUAUAUCCGGCUGUCAAAUAAAAGAUGUGGGUGGAUUAACAAAUUCCUUACUCGCCCUUGAUCAAUUGUUUUUAGUUAGUGAUUUGUCUAUUCUUAAGGAUUAACAAAUUCCUUACUCGCCCUUCAUGUUUAGGAAGGAACCUGCCCUGUCCUGGGGACCUUGAUGUAUAGGGGACUUGCUAAGUUUUUUUUCCCCUCUUCACAAUAAUAUUUUGAAUAUUUUAUUUCAUAUUGGUAUGAUAUAAUAUGUCAAAAUAUCUAAUCAAAAGCAUAUUUGUGAUUGACUAUUCCCCUUGUCUUGCUAUCACUAUUGAUUGCACCUUGUUCAUCAAUUGGGUGGCAGUAAGGUGACUUUUGAUAAUAAUGAGUACGCGCGUAUACAUUAGAGUCUGGUCCAUCAAACUAUGCCGUCUCUGAUAGUGGAAAUGAGCUUAUAGCAGUACAGGAGAUUUUUUAUGAAACAGCCAAGCAAAAUACAUUGUUAGGAAUGCAUUGGUGCAAAAUGUGGCCAAUUUGAAAACUGUACAUGACUGCUCGUAGAAACCCUCUCUCUCGCGCAAAUACUAUGGUCUUUGCCUACAGAAGUGAUACAGUACAUGCAAUCAUCACUUUGCUGAAUCAUGUAUACAGAUGACCAUGCAUAUUCCAGUGUUGGAAAGUGCUUAUUUGAUGUAUCAAUACAGGUUAUUGCUUCUGCUUUUGCAUAUUUAGGUUCAUUCAACUCUGUGUAUCUAUGGGAUACUGUAAUUAGCAUUAAAAAUAAUGAUUCUUGGAUCGAAAAACCUGUAAUUAAGCUGGGUCAAAAGGUUUUACAAGACACCCUUUUGCAAAGGAGCAAAUGAGUAAAAAAUUAUUGAGUCAUGUACUACUACGGUACAUGGUACUGUGGAAAGUCGCUUUCAGUAGGCUGGCAAGGACAAAAGCUUUCCACAGUUCGCGGUAUAUGGACCUCUUAUAUCAGCUAUUUCAGUUACACCAAGCUCGCUCUUAAAAACACUUUUUCUCAUUUUCUUUUGAAAUGCUCGUGGUAAUGAAGUCUCAUCAUUUCUUCAUGGUAGACAUCGUGCCUCGUGCAAAAGAAACCGAGCUAUCUGUUCUAGCUAUUUUGGGCAUCAUUGUUGCUUGUUGCGUCAUAAUUGCUCUGAUGUUUAUCCUGAUUUGAUUUUGCUUCAUAAGGAAAUAGGCUAAGAACCAUGGACCUGUAUGCUUUUCCGGAGUGCAGCUAGUAGACUGCUGCUUUGGUGUCACCUUCUGGAAUCUAUAACAUGACCUUCAAUGAGGACCUUCUAGGAUCUUAUGCUUUUCCCCGGAGUACCACAAACCUCUUGAGAUAACAUGGCCAACAUGACCGUCCGAAGAUAUUUAACAACAUUUGAAGAUUUUGUUGGUCCGCAAUCUCAGUUUUUGUUAUCUAGCUUGAGUUAAGCCAUAACUCAUCACAUUUAGUUAUAAAUCUUAAAAUAUUUUCUGUACAAUACUGUUCAGCAGUAGCCUGAAUAGCCCUACAAGAAUCAUCACAAAGUAUUGUUUGAA